Colias croceus (clouded yellow) is the source of this 991-nucleotide long non-coding RNA. RefSeq lists it as uncharacterized. The record is from RefSeq and is a predicted model, not a curated record. The transcript has 3 exons. NCBI's taxonomy places the organism in Eukaryota, Metazoa, Arthropoda, Insecta, Lepidoptera, Pieridae.
UUCAGCUUUCUAAUAUUAGUAUAGAUUGAAUGGAUAAUAUUUAUUUACAUGUUUAUAAUUGUUUAAUUUUUAAUUAUAGGUAGAUCCUGGUUUGGUGACAACAACUGAUACACUGAGAAGCUUGGGAGGAGAUUGAUUGAAGGUUUACAUAGCAUGUUGCAACAAAUAAUCUAUUGUUCGCUUAUAGUCUAAGAUCCGAACCCAAAUCGACCUUCACCGGGGUGAAAAUAGAAUGAGAUCAAUUUUAUAAUAAUUUGAUCUCACUCUAUUAUCGCUCCGGUGAUUUAGUUUCGGAUCAACUAGGUACUAUAAAAAUUACAACAAUCAAUAACAUCUAAUAGCAACUACGUGAGAAGAAACAUAUCAAAACAAGUAGCAUAUAAAGGCUUAAAUAAUUAGCUUCCCGAUAGGUAUCAUUUUCUAAAACAUCUAUGCAUCAGACUUUACAAAUGAACAUGGCUUAAAAUAGGGUUCCGCCGUUAUUUUCUAAAUUUAAAACAUCGAUACGCUGUGUCUCGAAUCAGUUCAGUGAUCCCGAGGUUUUAAGGGGUUGUCGUGAUGUGAUCUGGACAAUCAAAACUUCUUACGGACUGUCAGUGGUAGCUACAAGAUAAUAUUGAUUCUACAUAAUAUAUUGGGUGAAGCAUUAUAACGGUGUUUAAGACGUGGAGUUCAAGAACUUCAAGAUUUCAUCAACAGUCAGUCUGCACACGCCGAAUUUAUUAGUAUAUUUGAAUUAGAAAUUUGAUUUUGAACUUAUAAGAUUUCAAAGUCUCUGUUUCAAAAUAUUAUUAUAAAUAUAUAAAUAAUUUAAAAUGAGUUCGUCAAUAAUUAAUAUAACAUUGUAAUAUUGCUGCGUGUAUUGUCCACUCAAAAUGUAUUAAUGAGGAAUUGAUACUGUCAUUUUUGUUCUGUUAUUUUGUUUGUAAAUAAAGUAUUACAUAAAGUUAUUUGAAAGCAUGUAUGAAGAUGAAAACUAGUUAAAAAUUGA